This 491-nucleotide ribosomal RNA is filed under the name uncultured bacterium. RNAcentral describes it as "partial 16S ribosomal RNA". It matches the Rfam family "Bacterial small subunit ribosomal RNA", at positions 29 to 507 of the family's 1533-position model. The record is from RNAcentral.
AGUGAACGCUGGCGGUAGGCCUAACACAUGCAAGUGCACGGCAGCACAGUAAGAGCUUGCUCUUACGGGUGGCGAGUGGCGGACGGGUGAGGAAUACAUCGGAAUCUACUUUUUCGUGGGGGAUAACGUAGGGAAACUUACGCUAAUACCGCAUACGACCUACGGGUGAAAGCAGGGGAUCUUCGGACCUUGCGCGAUUGAAUGAGCCGAUGUCGGAUUAGCUAGUUGGCGGGGUAAAGGCCCACCAAGGCGACGAUCCGUAGCUGGUCUGAGAGGAUGAUCAGCCACACUGGAACUGAGACACGGUCCAGACUCCUACGGGAGGCAGCAGUGGGGAAUAUUGGACAAUGGGCGCAAGCCUGAUCCAGCCAUACCGCGUGGGUGAAGAAGGCCUUCGGGUUGUAAAGCCCUUUUGUUGGGAAAGAAAAGCAGCAGGUUAAUACCCCGCUGUUCUGACGGUACCCAAAGAAUAAGCACCGGCUAACUUCGUG